RNAcentral lists this ribosomal RNA (2905 nucleotides) under Enterobacter roggenkampii. RNAcentral's name for it is "23S ribosomal RNA". It matches the Rfam family "Bacterial large subunit ribosomal RNA". The record is from RNAcentral. Lineage: Bacteria; Pseudomonadati; Pseudomonadota; Gammaproteobacteria; Enterobacterales; Enterobacteriaceae.
GGUUAAGCGACUAAGCGUACACGGUGGAUGCCCUGGCAGUCAGAGGCGAUGAAGGACGUGCUAAUCUGCGAAAAGCGCCGGCGAGGUGAUAUGAACCUUUGACCCGGCGAUGUCCGAAUGGGGAAACCCAGUGUGUUCCGACACACUAUCGUUAACUGAAUACAUAGGUUAACGAGGCGAACCGGGGGAACUGAAACAUCUAAGUACCCCGAGGAAAAGAAAUCAACCGAGAUUCCCCCAGUAGCGGCGAGCGAACGGGGAGCAGCCCAGAGUCUGAAUCAGCUUGUGUGUUAGUGGAAGCGUCUGGAAAGUCGCACGGUACAGGGUGACAGUCCCGUACACGAAAAUGCACAGGUUGUGAACUCGAAGAGUAGGGCGGGACACGUGGUAUCCUGUCUGAAUAUGGGGGGACCAUCCUCCAAGGCUAAAUACUCCUGACUGACCGAUAGUGAACCAGUACCGUGAGGGAAAGGCGAAAAGAACCCCGGCGAGGGGAGUGAAAAAGAACCUGAAACCGUGUACGUACAAGCAGUGGGAGCACCUUCGUGGUGUGACUGCGUACCUUUUGUAUAAUGGGUCAGCGACUUAUAUUCUGUAGCAAGGUUAACCGUAUAGGGGAGCCGAAGGGAAACCGAGUCUUAACUGGGCGUUAAGUUGCAGGGUAUAGACCCGAAACCCGGUGAUCUAGCCAUGGGCAGGUUGAAGGUUGGGUAACACUAACUGGAGGACCGAACCGACUAAUGUUGAAAAAUUAGCGGAUGACUUGUGGCUGGGGGUGAAAGGCCAAUCAAACCGGGAGAUAGCUGGUUCUCCCCGAAAGCUAUUUAGGUAGCGCCUCGUGAACUCAUCUUCGGGGGUAGAGCACUGUUUCGGCUAGGGGGCCAUCCCGGCUUACCAACCCGAUGCAAACUACGAAUACCGAAGAAUGUUAUCACGGGAGACACACGGCGGGUGCUAACGUCCGUCGUGAAGAGGGAAACAACCCAGACCGCCAGCUAAGGUCCCAAAGUCAUGGUUAAGUGGGAAACGAUGUGGGAAGGCACAGACAGCCAGGAUGUUGGCUUAGAAGCAGCCAUCAUUUAAAGAAAGCGUAAUAGCUCACUGGUCGAGUCGGCCUGCGCGGAAGAUGUAACGGGGCUAAACCAUGCACCGAAGCUGCGGCAGCGACACUAUGUGUUGUUGGGUAGGGGAGCGUUCUGUAAGCCGUUGAAGGUGGCCUGUGAGGGUUGCUGGAGGUAUCAGAAGUGCGAAUGCUGACAUAAGUAACGAUAAAGCGGGUGAAAAGCCCGCUCGCCGGAAGACCAAGGGUUCCUGUCCAACGUUAAUCGGGGCAGGGUGAGUCGACCCCUAAGGCGAGGCCGAAAGGCGUAGUCGAUGGGAAACAGGUUAAUAUUCCUGUACUUGGUGUUACUGCGAAGGGGGGACGGAGAAGGCUAUGUUAGCCGGGCGACGGUUGUCCCGGUUUAAGCAUGUAGGCGGAACGAUUAGGUAAAUCCGGUCGUUUUUUAACGCUGAGGUGUGAUGACGAGGCACUACGGUGCUGAAGUAACAAAUGCCCUGCUUCCAGGAAAAGCCUCUAAGCAUCAGGUAACAUCAAAUCGUACCCCAAACCGACACAGGUGGUCAGGUAGAGAAUACCAAGGCGCUUGAGAGAACUCGGGUGAAGGAACUAGGCAAAAUGGUGCCGUAACUUCGGGAGAAGGCACGCUGAUAUGUAGGUGAAGCCCCUGCGGGUGGAGCUGAAAUCAGUCGAAGAUACCAGCUGGCUGCAACUGUUUAUUAAAAACACAGCACUGUGCAAACACGAAAGUGGACGUAUACGGUGUGACGCCUGCCCGGUGCCGGAAGGUUAAUUGAUGGGGUUAGCGGCAACGCGAAGCUCUUGAUCGAAGCCCCGGUAAACGGCGGCCGUAACUAUAACGGUCCUAAGGUAGCGAAAUUCCUUGUCGGGUAAGUUCCGACCUGCACGAAUGGCGUAAUGAUGGCCAGGCUGUCUCCACCCGAGACUCAGUGAAAUUGAACUCGCUGUGAAGAUGCAGUGUACCCGCGGCAAGACGGAAAGACCCCGUGAACCUUUACUAUAGCUUGACACUGAACACUGGUCCUUGAUGUGUAGGAUAGGUGGGAGGCUUUGAAGUGUGGACGCCAGUCUGCAUGGAGCCGUCCUUGAAAUACCACCCUUUAAUGGCUGGUGUUCUAACGUAGACCCGUGAUCCGGGUUGCGGACAGUGUCUGGUGGGUAGUUUGACUGGGGCGGUCUCCUCCCAAAGAGUAACGGAGGAGCACGAAGGUUAGCUAAUCCUGGUCGGACAUCAGGAGGUUAGUGCAAUGGCAUAAGCUAGCUUGACUGCGAGAGUGACGGCUCGAGCAGGUGCGAAAGCAGGUCAUAGUGAUCCGGUGGUUCUGAAUGGAAGGGCCAUCGCUCAACGGAUAAAAGGUACUCCGGGGAUAACAGGCUGAUACCGCCCAAGAGUUCAUAUCGACGGCGGUGUUUGGCACCUCGAUGUCGGCUCAUCACAUCCUGGGGCUGAAGUAGGUCCCAAGGGUAUGGCUGUUCGCCAUUUAAAGUGGUACGCGAGCUGGGUUUAGAACGUCGUGAGACAGUUCGGUCCCUAUCUGCCGUGGGCGCUGGAGAAUUGAGGGGGGCUGCUCCUAGUACGAGAGGACCGGAGUGGACGCAUCACUGGUGUUCGGGUUGUCAUGCCAAUGGCACUGCCCGGUAGCUAAAUGCGGAAAAGAUAAGUGCUGAAAGCAUCUAAGCACGAAACUUGCCCCGAGAUGAGUUCUCCCUGAGACUUUAAGUCUCCUGAAGGAACGUUGAAGACGACGACGUUGAUAGGUCGGGUGUGUAAGCGCAGCGAUGCGUUGAGCUAACCGAUACUAAUGAACCGUGAGGCUUAACCUU